RNAcentral lists this ribosomal RNA (528 nucleotides) under Pseudomonas aeruginosa. RNAcentral describes it as "bacterial SSU rRNA". It matches the Rfam family "Bacterial small subunit ribosomal RNA", at positions 72 to 596 of the family's 1533-position model. The record is from RNAcentral. Lineage: Bacteria; Pseudomonadati; Pseudomonadota; Gammaproteobacteria; Pseudomonadales; Pseudomonadaceae.
AAGGGAGCUUGCUCCUGGAUUCAGCGGCGGACGGGUGAGUAAUGCCUAGGAAUCUGCCUGGUAGUGGGGGAUAACGUCCGGAAACGGGCGCUAAUACCGCAUACGUCCUGAGGGAGAAAGUGGGGGAUCUUCGGACCUCACGCUAUCAGAUGAGCCUAGGUCGGAUUAGCUAGUUGGUGGGGUAAAGGCCUACCAAGGCGACGAUCCGUAACUGGUCUGAGAGGAUGAUCAGUCACACUGGAACUGAGACACGGUCCAGACUCCUACGGGAGGCAGCAGUGGGGAAUAUUGGACAAUGGGCGAAAGCCUGAUCCAGCCAUGCCGCGUGUGUGAAGAAGGUCUUCGGAUUGUAAAGCACUUUAAGUUGGGAGGAAGGGCAGUAAGUUAAUACCUUGCUGUUUUGACGUUACCAACAGAAUAAGCACCGGCUAACUUCGUGCCAGCAGCCGCGGUAAUACGAAGGGUGCAAGCGUUAAUCGGAAUUACUGGGCGUAAAGCGCGCGUAGGUGGUUCAGCAAGUUGGAUGUG